Molecule: ribosomal RNA, 429 nt
Filed under: Bacteroidota bacterium
Lineage: Bacteria; Pseudomonadati; Bacteroidota
Description: Bacteroidetes bacterium partial 16S ribosomal RNA
Rfam family: Bacterial small subunit ribosomal RNA
Source: RNAcentral
UAGGGAAUCUUCCGCAAUGGACGCAAGUCUGACGGAGCAACGCCGCGUGAGUGAAGAAGGAUUUCGGUUCGUAAAGCUCUGUUGUUAAGGAAGAACGAGUGUGAGAAUGGAAAGUUCAUGCUGUGACGGUACUUAACCAGAAAGGGACGGCUAACUACGUGCCAGCAGCCGCGGUAAUACGUAGGUCCCGAGCGUUGUCCGGAUUUAUUGGGCGUAAAGCGAGCGCAGGCGGUUAGAUAAGUCUGAAGUUAAAGGCAGUGGCUCAACCAUUGUAGGCUUUGGAAACUGGUUGACUUGAGUGCAGAAGAGGAGAGUGGAAUUCCAUGUGUAGCGGUGAAAUGCGUAGAUAUAUGGAGGAACACCAGUGGCGAAGGCGACUCUCUGGUCUGUAACUGACGCUGAGGCUCGAAAGCGUGGGUAGCAAACAGG